This 1076-nucleotide ribosomal RNA is filed under the name Enterococcus sp. 580B1_12EVRE. RNAcentral's name for it is "bacterial SSU rRNA". It matches the Rfam family "Bacterial small subunit ribosomal RNA", at positions 60 to 1107 of the family's 1533-position model. The record is from RNAcentral. Lineage: Bacteria; Bacillati; Bacillota; Bacilli; Lactobacillales; Enterococcaceae.
AGUCGAACGCUUUUUCUUUCACCGGAGCUUGCUCCACCGAAAGAAAAAGAGUGGCGAACGGGUGAGUAACACGUGGGUAACCUGCCCAUCAGAAGGGGAUAACACUUGGAAACAGGUGCUAAUACCGUAUAACAAGUAAAACCGCAUGGUUUUACUUUGAAAGGCGCUUUUGCGUCACUGAUGGAUGGACCCGCGGUGCAUUAGCUAGUUGGUGAGGUAACGGCUCACCAAGGCAACGAUGCAUAGCCGACCUGAGAGGGUGAUCGGCCACAUUGGGACUGAGACACGGCCCAAACUCCUACGGGAGGCAGCAGUAGGGAAUCUUCGGCAAUGGACGAAAGUCUGACCGAGCAACGCCGCGUGAGUGAAGAAGGUUUUCGGAUCGUAAAACUCUGUUGUUAGAGAAGAACAAGGAUGAGAGUAAAAUGUUCAUCCCUUGACGGUAUCUAACCAGAAAGCCACGGCUAACUACGUGCCAGCAGCCGCGGUAAUACGUAGGUGGCAAGCGUUGUCCGGAUUUAUUGGGCGUAAAGCGAGCGCAGGCGGUUUCUUAAGUCUGAUGUGAAAGCCCCCGGCUCAACCGGGGAGGGUCAUUGGAAACUGGGAAACUUGAGUGCAGAAGAGGAGAGUGGAAUUCCAUGUGUAGCGGUGAAAUGCGUAGAUAUAUGGAGGAACACCAGUGGCGAAGGCGGCUCUCUGGUCUGUAACUGACGCUGAGGCUCGAAAGCGUGGGGAGCAAACAGGAUUAGAUACCCUGGUAGUCCACGCCGUAAACGAUGAGUGCUAAGUGUUGGAGGGUUUCCGCCCUUCAGUGCUGCAGCUAACGCAUUAAGCACUCCGCCUGGGGAGUACGACCGCAAGGUUGAAACUCAAAGGAAUUGACGGGGGCCCGCACAAGCGGUGGAGCAUGUGGUUUAAUUCGAAGCAACGCGAAGAACCUUACCAGGUCUUGACAUCCUUUGACCACUCUAGAGAUAGAGCUUCCCCUUCGGGGGCAAAGUGACAGGUGGUGCAUGGUUGUCGUCAGCUCGUGUCGUGAGAUGUUGGGUUAAGUCCCGCAACGAGCGCAACCCUUA